AGGAGAGGAAACAGAAGUUUGCUUUCCGGUGCUCUCCACUCAGCUCCACAGACUGAGCCUCUAAUUAAAGUGAUUUGUGACUCAUUUGCAGUAUUACAGUUUACAGAUGGAAGCGUCUUGAUCUGCCAAAGCUUCCUUUCAGCACAGAGCGAUCCACUGAACAAGGAUAGAGAGAGAAGACAAAGAACUAGAUUUGUACAUUUUCAAGAAACCCCCCAGGGUCGGCCUCUCCACUCAAGAGUGCACGCAGGCACUCUAACCUACUAUCUACACCACAUACGUGCACAGUCUCAGUGAGGUGAAGAGAGCAGACGUGAGAGAACGACACUUUACGGGCAGCCACAUCCUGAGGAAGAGAAAGCAACAUGCUCAGCGCAGGCCAUGAGAAUGUCAGCCACUGGAAAGAGCUGGGCUCUCACACACACAAACCAGACACACCACGAGAGCAAAGGAAAGAGGUGGAGGUGCAGAAGAAAGGGAGUGAUAAAAUGAAAAGGUAGCAAACAGAGGCAUGCUUCAAAGACCAGAGCGGAAGGGUGCAGAUCGCUGCAGGGCAGACACAUUAUAGCCACCGUGACCAACCUCUCUCUCUCUCUCUCUCUCUCUCUCUCUCUCGGUUGUGAAUGAGGAAACCUCUGAAGCUGAUCUCCUGACCGACUUCUCCAGUCCAGGCCUUGCGAUGCAGUUAAUGGAAACCAGACCCUUCUCGUCCAUCUUCCACCACUGACACCUUGUAACACUCUCUGGAGGGGUGCGUGUGUGCACACGUUCACACCCAUAUGGUCCGGCAGGGGAGCUGUGG
Molecule: long non-coding RNA, 802 nt
Organism: Rhinichthys klamathensis goyatoka
Lineage: Eukaryota; Metazoa; Chordata; Actinopteri; Cypriniformes; Leuciscidae
Exons: 3
Source: RefSeq, a predicted model, not a curated record